CUGCUGUUCACAUCGUGUCAACAUUUCAGAUGAUGGUUUCUCCACUUGUGCCUUUUCAAGUACUUUCAAGAGCUCUUUCGAAUUUUCUUUGUCUUCUUGUAAUUGUAAUCUUAGUUUCUGAUUAUGUUCUUUUUCUGCUUCCAGGAGUUUUAGUAGGUUACAGAGCUCAGUUUUCAUUGCUUCAGUUUCCUGUCGUCUGUCCUCAAGCUGUUGCUUCAGCUGAUCUGUCUCAAACUUUGUCACUUCUUGCAAAUUGUCAUAGUCAUCCUGAAGGCUUGCUUUUUCUUCAAGAUUCUUUUCAUAUUCCAGCCUGACACUGUCCAGCUUGAACUGUACGUCCAUAUGUCUAUCAGAAAGCUGACUCAUCUCCUUCUCUUGCUUUUCC
Molecule: long non-coding RNA, 385 nt
Filed under: Gallus gallus (chicken)
Lineage: Eukaryota; Metazoa; Chordata; Aves; Galliformes; Phasianidae
Source: RNAcentral